This 1020-nucleotide ribosomal RNA is filed under the name Nocardiopsis sp. UTMC 02001. RNAcentral describes it as "bacterial SSU rRNA". It matches the Rfam family "Bacterial small subunit ribosomal RNA", at positions 420 to 1434 of the family's 1533-position model. Lineage: Bacteria; Bacillati; Actinomycetota; Actinomycetes; Streptosporangiales; Nocardiopsidaceae. The record is from RNAcentral.
GGGUUGUAAACCUUUUUUACCAACCAACGCAGGCCCGGAGUUCUUUUCGGGUUGACGGUAGGUGGGGAAUAAGGACCGGGCUAACUACGUGCCAGCAGCCGCGGUAAUACGUAGGGUCCGAGCGUUGUCCGGAAUUAUUGGGCGUAAAGAGCUCGUAGGCGGCGUGUCGCGUCUGCUGUGAAAGACCGGGGCUUAACUCCGGUUCUGCAGUGGAUACGGGCAUGCUAGAGGUAGGUAGGGGAGACUGGAAUUCCUGGUGUAGCGGUGAAAUGCGCAGAUAUCAGGAGGAACACCGGUGGCGAAGGCGGGUCUCUGGGCCUUACCUGACGCUGAGGAGCGAAAGCAUGGGGAGCGAACAGGAUUAGAUACCCUGGUAGUCCAUGCCGUAAACGUUGGGCGCUAGGUGUGGGGACUUUCCACGGUUUCCGCGCCGUAGCUAACGCAUUAAGCGCCCCGCCUGGGGAGUACGGCCGCAAGGCUAAAACUCAAAGGAAUUGACGGGGGCCCGCACAAGCGGCGGAGCAUGUUGCUUAAUUCGACGCAACGCGAAGAACCUUACCAAGGUUUGACAUCACCCGUGGACUCGCAGAGAUGUGAGGUCAUUUAGUUGGCGGGUGACAGGUGGUGCAUGGCUGUCGUCAGCUCGUGUCGUGAGAUGUUGGGUUAAGUCCCGCAACGAGCGCAACCCUUGUUCCAUGUUGCCAGCACGUAAUGGUGGGGACUCAUGGGAGACUGCCGGGGUCAACUCGGAGGAAGGUGGGGAUGACGUCAAGUCAUCAUGCCCCUUAUGUCUUGGGCUGCAAACAUGCUACAAUGGCCGGUACAAUGGGCGUGCGAUACCGUAAGGUGGAGCGAAUCCCUAAAAGCCGGUCUCAGUUCGGAUUGGGGUCUGCAACUCGACCCCAUGAAGGUGGAGUCGCUAGUAAUCGCGGAUCAGCAACGCCGCGGUGAAUACGUUCCCGGGCCUUGUACACACCGCCCGUCACGUCAUGAAAGUCGGCAACACCCGAAACUUGCGGC